UGUGCUGCUCGAGGUUGUAUUGUGCAUUUUCUAGUGUUUUUUUUUUUUGGGUUUCAGUCUUCUAUACAUGCCUAUAUGAAUAAUGAAUGUGAAAUAGUAGUUUGCAAAACUUUUCUGUGGUGUUUUUUUUUUAAAAUAAUUUUGAUGACUAAGAUUCUCUUCAUUCUUUAUUUGAACUACGAGGACUUUGAUCUCUAUUUUGAUAGAGUACGUAGGCGUUUGGGUUCUCUCCCAAACUCAAGUCCAAUUUGCCAUUGAUUUUUUUUAUUUGAUGCCAUAUGUGGAUUUCUUACCAACCAUUGUUUUUGUAGUGUUUGAGAGUAAUAGUGGACAGGACUUCUGCUUGAGGUGAUCGUAUUAUUCCCACUAAUCCUCUUUUAUGUGGUUGUAUUGUGUUGGCUGUUCAAUUGGAGGAUAACAGCCUGUCGUGAUGUAGAUUAUGUUUCUAUGAAUGUCGCAUAAUCAUGUGAAGCUUUAAGCUGAUAUAGGUACGAUUGUCCCGAUCAUGUGUUGAAGUUUUUACAUUUGAGUAAGAAUUUUAAUACGGAUAACAGCCCGUCAUGUGAUGUAGUUUAUGUUCCUAUGACUGUCACACAAUCAUGUGAAGUCUUAAGCUUAUACAGGUACGAUCGUCCCGAUCAUGUGUUAAAAAGUUUUUACGUUUUUGAGUAUGAAUUUCUCAACGCAUAAAAUAAACUCUCCUCCGAAGAAAUUAUCUUCAG
This 722-nucleotide long non-coding RNA is filed under the name Citrus sinensis (sweet orange). RNAcentral describes it as "long non-coding RNA (CSIN_LNC001829)". The record is from RNAcentral. Lineage: Eukaryota; Viridiplantae; Streptophyta; Magnoliopsida; Sapindales; Rutaceae.